GCUGUUUGGCUGAGGCACUGGUGAAGAACUGUGGCUUGAUGCCAUUGCAUAAAAUCACCACUUGAUAAAAGCUUGGUGAAAACACUCCCGGAGCACCUGAAGAAGGCCGUCGUCAUAUCUCUGCCGGUUGCAUCAUACGAGAACCGCCUGCUGCUGUGGCUGCGCGGCAGCCGAGGACCUGCGGCCUACUGCGCACCGCCGCGCCGACACGUCGCUCCCCGGCGCAGGAAGCGGCCCGGGCGGCGGCACGGAGGCACGGCGGUACGGCGGCGGGGGGAGCCCAGGCGCCGCCUCUCCCUCCCCGGCGCUCGGAGGAGGAGCCGCGGACGGCGGAAGGGGCUGCCCCCGACCGGGGGUGGCCCCGGGGGUGUCCCUGCGGCCGUCGCCGUGGCCGCGCCGCCAUUUGCGGGGCCCCCGGCGCCAUGCCGGGCUGCGGGCACGCAGCUGCCGCCGCCCUGCUCGCGGGCGGCCCCGCGGCUCGGCAUGCCGUCAGACUUGCAUUUUGGACGCUAAUUCCGCAGCAGGCCGCCAAAGUCGUGUCGGGGAGAGUCAGGGUGGCGAUUAAAGCGAGGUUCUUCGCUUUGGGUGGCGCUGGAACGGCUCCCCCGGGGCAGCGGGCACGGCGCCGAGCGGCCGGAGUUGGUUCGGACGCUGCUCUCACAAACAGCGUUUAACGUUCAGCUGCUGCUGAACUCGGGGUAUCCUACAGAACGCAGGGCGCGCCGCGUCCCGACGAAACACUAACACUCCAAACGUAUCGCAGUGCAGGGCCGCUCGGGGCUCUGGUUAAUUAACGGCAGUGAUGCCAUUGGUAUUAAGGAGCAGGUGGACGCGCCGCCGUGGGCUGCUGGCUACGUGUGGGUGGCGGUGGAAGUUCACGCCCUGCACGCACCCCGCCUGCCCCCCCUGCCGGCACCGAGCGCCGUCGGUUCUGGCUGUUGUGACUGCUGGAUAACCGCGUGAGGAGAAUUUGGCGGCCCGGCAGCCCAGCUCACUCAACCACGUCACCACAGCUGCCUCUAAGGUGUUUUUUCACUCCUCGGUGGUGAACGCUGACAGGCCUCUGUUGUGUGCGACGUGUUCUGCAGGCUCCAGAGCAGGCAGUUCCGAGUGGCGGCCACAGGGACCACGAGUCAGAGCUGUGAGGAUUCUUGGAUUGCUUCCUUGGGAGCACCGCAGCUGUCCUGAGUAGUGUUUGUCCUCCUCAGGGUACCCCUUUAAAGGGCAGCGGGCUCCCGUCUUCAGCUCCUCACUUCUCACAUGUAGUAAGGCAAUGGAAAAGUGCUGACAAAUGUAACAACCUCAGACUGCUGCUAGUGCAGCACACCGGGCUUUUUUGCAAGAGAAAUGAGUUGUAGAUGCAGGGAAGAGAAAUAGAUACAUGCACACGUUGCACGUAAAUAGCAGGAAGAGAGUUGUGGAGAUACUGCUGCCUCUACAGGACAUUAUUACUCUGCCUUUUACUAGCUGACUUGAAGAGACUGCAUGUCAUGCAUGCAGUAUCCCGUUCCCUUUUUCCUGUCUCACCUCUUCUGCAACAUGGCAGAAAGCUGUAUCAGGCCAAACAAAUGGCACAGGCUGUGAAAGACUUAUCCCAAAGAAUCACUUGAUUUAAACCUUUAAAUCCAGUACAUUUAAAGCACAGAUCCAGCAGCAAGCAAGCCAUUGUACACCCCACAGUAGAGGCUGCGGUGUGGAUGCUGCGUUCACAGGACAGACUGCAUCUUUGUCAGUUCAAAGCUGUGUUUUGCUGAUUCUAUUGUCUUCAGCAGCAAAGUGACACGGGUAUUCACACCUGUGCAUUUACACACUUAGGCUGUAGCUUCCAGGGGGACUGCUCUUCUGUCUUAACAUUAGCAUGGGUGUAAGCGUGAGGCAGAGUCACAGCUUUUGGAUUUAGGGCAUGGAAUCUCCUGGUCAGGUUUCCCAAGUAGGGCAGCACUAUUAGUGGGACCUGCUGUUACACCCAGCACGCUGUACGUUCUUGUUGGCUUGUGGAGCUCAUGUCAGCUGUUAGCUCUGCAGACACUGCAGAAAGGAUUGCUUGAGAGUUGUGGGUGGGAGGAUUUCUGAAGGGCAGUGGAAAUUUGUGGCUGCAGUUUUCUUGCUUUCACUUCUUGAUUUCACUUUCUUGGGCCGC
Molecule: long non-coding RNA, 2140 nt
Filed under: Gallus gallus (chicken)
Lineage: Eukaryota; Metazoa; Chordata; Aves; Galliformes; Phasianidae
Source: RNAcentral